Molecule: ribosomal RNA, 420 nt
Filed under: Fusobacteriota bacterium
Lineage: Bacteria; Fusobacteriati; Fusobacteriota
Description: Fusobacteria bacterium partial 16S ribosomal RNA
Rfam family: Bacterial small subunit ribosomal RNA
Source: RNAcentral
UGGGGGAUAUUGCACAAUGGGCGAAAGCCUGAUGCAGCGACGCCGCGUGGGGGAUGAAGGCCUUCGGGUUGUAAACUUCUUUUGCUCUGAACAAGGCAUGCCUUUGGGGUGUGUUGAGUGUAGGGGUUGAUUAGCGCCGGCUAACUACGUGCCAGCAGCCGCGGUAAUACGUAGGGCGCGAGCGGUGUCCGGAAUUAUUGGGCGUAAAGGGCUUGUAGGUGGCUGGUUGCGUCUGUCGUGAAAGCUCAUGGCUUAACUGUGGGUUUGCGGUGGGUACGGGCGGGCUUGAGUGCAGGAGGGGGGGCUGGAAUUCCUGGUGUAGCGGUGGAAAGCGCAGAUAUCAGGAGGAAUACCGGUGGCGAAGGCGGGUCUCUGGGCUGUUACUGACGCUGAGGAGCGAAAGCGUGGGGAGCGAACAGG